RNAcentral lists this ribosomal RNA (497 nucleotides) under uncultured bacterium. RNAcentral's name for it is "partial 16S ribosomal RNA". It matches the Rfam family "Bacterial small subunit ribosomal RNA", at positions 28 to 507 of the family's 1533-position model. The record is from RNAcentral.
GAUGAACGCUGGCGGCGUGCCUAAUACAUGCAAGUCGAGCGAACGGACGAGAAGCUUGCUUCUUUGAUGUUAGCGGCGGACGGGUGAGUAACACGUGGAUAAUCUACCUAUAAGACUGGGAUAACUUCGGGAAACCGGAGCUAAUACCGGAUAAUAUUCUGAACCGCAUGGUUCAAAAGUGAAAGACGGUGUUGCUGUCACUUAUAGAUGCAUCCGCGCUGCAUUAGCUAGUUGGUAAGGUCACGGCUUACCAAGGCAACGAUGCAUAGCCGAGCUGCGAGGGUGAUAGGCCGCACGGGAGCUGGAACGCGGUCCAGACGCCUGAGGGAGGGAGCAGAAGGGAAUGUUACGCAGUGGGCGAGAGCCUGGCGGAACAACGCCGCGUGAGAGAUGGAGGUCUUCGGAUCGUAAAACUCUGUUAUUAGGGAAGAACAGAUGUGUCAGUAACUGUGCACUUCUUGACGGUACCUAAUCAGAAAGCCACGGCUAACUACGUG